This 24-nucleotide non-coding RNA is filed under the name Arabidopsis thaliana (thale cress). The record is from RNAcentral. Lineage: Eukaryota; Viridiplantae; Streptophyta; Magnoliopsida; Brassicales; Brassicaceae.
AUGAUGGAUCCUAUCUAUUAUUGC